AUUGGCCGGUUUAAGUGCUGAGGCUUUGCGAAAGAGGAGAGCCCUCCGCAGGGUCCCCAGCUCCCCGGGACUUGAGAAGCUUGUAUUCUGUGGUGGGGACUAGCUCCAGGGAGGAGAGCUCCCAGACCCGAAGCGCACGUUUCCCAGGGACACGGCCUCCGUGCACACGUGUGGAGAGGGGAUUCCGGGCACACACGGUGGCUGUCUGAUGAUUUCAUGUGACCGCCUGACUGUCCCGUCUCCCUAGGUUUGGGUGUAGGUGAGGGUGAUAUCUGUUCACAUGUGACUCAUCUUGUUUGUGUUGAACGUGAGUGUAUUUACACUUGAGAGCAGUGCUGCCUAUCUGGAAGUCUGAGUGUCUCUGAGCCAUUGUGCAAUGCUACGUCUCUGCGUGUGUAUUUUUCUGCGAGGAUGUUGGUUCUGGGCAUGACUGUUCUUCCUCCCUGCAUGGCCGUGGGCAAGAGAGUUUGUCUCUGGUGAGGUGUGCAGGGAUAAUUGGACCGUGGUGCUCGGGAGUGCGGUCCGCGGGCUGCAUGCGCCCUGGACUGGGCAGAGCUGGAAGGAAGCUGUGCACACCCGCCUCUUCCAGGCAGCUGUCUUUCUGAGGGAGAGUGGGUGCUGUUCUUGCCUGAAACACUUCACAGAGCAAGAUGGUAGAAGGCUAAAGGAAGUGGAGAUAUUUGUCUUUCCCUGAUGGGACAGGUUGUUGACAGAACUGGAGAUGUUCGUGGGGGAGGAUUCCCCCCCCCCCCCCCAGAGGAAACAGUUUUGAAUCUUGAAGGGUGUGUAGCCCCUGCUUUUCAAGUUGGCCCCAAGGACAAAGAAGAAUGGAUGUAUACCAGCCUGAACUACUUUCUGCUGGUCCAGCUCUCCUUGGAGCUCCCCAGCAGUCAGAUGGAAGAAUCCUAGUUCUUCACAACUUGCUAGACCACUCUGCACUUGGCUGUGGGAAGGGAGAGGGGUAACUGCAGGCAUGCUUUGGUACCAACCUGGGAGGGAAGGGCUGCCUCUGACUUGCUAGUUGACUUGCUAGGGAAGACCCUUCUGGGUCUCAGUUUCCCCACCCCUUCUUUUAUGCUUUGCUUCCCCCCCCCCGCCCCCCAACUCCAGUUGGGAUUUACCCAUUUGAAAUAUCUUAGGGGUGGGAGCUGGGUGGGGAGGGAGCCACAGAUGUCCGGGAGAUUGGCAGAAGUGACACAGCAUGUGAUGGUGUUUGGGGGGGGGGCACAGGCACACCUGGAAUCAGAGUUCUUUCUUCAUUCCUACAACAAGGUGAUGGGGGGCAUAAUGUUGAGGAUUUCUUGGAAGGAAGGAACAAGAUCCUCUCAGAAGGGUGGGGGCUGGUUGCUGCUCCUCCAUGCACCUUGAGGACGCAGAUGUUUUGGUGGAAGCCACCUCACCCUCUCACCUGACCAGGUGUGUAAUUGGGGCUUUGAGGGCCCCGGGUCUAAAGGUAGCAUUGAUGGAAUAGAAAGGGUACAGACUUGGGGCUGGACAUACCUGGGUGCAAAUCCCGACAGUCACAACUGUUAAGGCCCUCGGGCUUAGUUUCCUGAUGAGUAAUAUGGGAGGGUGGGUUAAUUAAUAUCUAUCUAAAACGUUUGUUGUGAAAAUUCAUUGUUUGCCAAGUAUCUAGCACAGUGCAUGGCAUAUUGCAGACUCCAGUGUUUCCUAAGCUUAUUUCAGCAUGGAACCUCUUUUUUCCCAAGAACUUCUCUGAAUACCCUUUGACAAACCUUGCCCUGUUCAUUUGUGUUUACUCAGCAAACAUGAACUGAGCAUUUACCAUAGACCAGGCCCUGUGUGAUGUUCGUCAUCCUUAGGAACCAAGGUAGCUAGUGGCCCAGGUGGAGGUGGGGGCAGGGCUUUGUCACAGGGGCACAGGGUCUCCAACUCCAUUGUUCUUUUUUUUUUUUUUUUUUUGAUUAUUUAUUUUUGAGAAGGGGGAGGAGGGGCAGAGAGAGAGGGAGACACAGACUCUGAAGCAGCUCCAGGCUCGGAGUUGUCAGUGCAGGUCCUGAUGCAGGGCUCGAACUCAUGAACUGUGAGAUCAUGACCUGAGCAGAAGUCAGAUGCUUAACCAGCUGAGCUACCCAGGCAGUCCUCCAACACCUUUGUUCUAAUUUCAGUUUUGCCUUGACCUCAGGGUGAAUCUGCUGAACAUUAUUGGAUACUCUAGUGUUAGCCUCUAACUCCCUCAUUUUAAAGAUGGGGAAACCGAGGCCCCUAGUGGGACAGUAACUUGCCUAAGAUUGCACAACUGGUGAGUCACAGAGCUGGGACUAGAGUCCAUUUUGUUUCCACUUUGCAUUCUGUCUCCUGCUCUGUGGCUCCCAAUGCUCAGACCCCCUAGCCACUUCAUCUAACAGGUGUGGAGGCUGGAACAGUCUGGCUUGGCAAUGUCUCCCAUCCUGUGUCUCAGAUAGGAAGCAGAAAUUCUCCCCUCCUUCCCAGCAGAAAGCACAGAACUGUAGAAUCUGAGAAUGCCAACUUUGGAAGGGACCCUCAGAGGGUCUUUAAAUGCACCCUCCUUUUUCCUCUCUGGUCUGUACAUUACUCAGCCAGGUGGAGAAGGGUCUUCUUAUCUUUCUAGAUCUUCUGGGAUGCAAGUGUCGAAACUUCCCUCUGCCUCCAUUCUGGAGUCUUGUACUGGUGACUGUCACACAGCAAUACCUGUUGCCUAAUCCGUGGCUCCUCUCCUCCUUCUCAGUGGAAGUGGAGGACACGGGUCACCAGCUCUGCUCCAUUGCCUUUCCUGUAGUUGAGAUAUUAGGGAGAUUCGAGUCAUCUCCUGGGUGAUACGGUCCUGGAGCCUUCAGCUGCUAGCACUGGAUCUUUGGGAACAUUUCCACUGGGACUCCAGUCCCUAAGAUACAGGCCCUUGGAAAGGCCGGAGGAUGGGUCCUGGCUCCCUGUGGUGUGGGCCAGCGCCCUCGCUGAGCUGAGGGUAGGCGGGCCCCCAUGGGUGGGGACCCAGCUUCCUUUGACCCAAACUUCAUGGGAACAAUGGACUUCAGAGGAGUCACCAGGGGCAGGAAAUAGGAGCUGUGCUAAGGCAGGGUGACCCUCCUGCAGGAUGGGGUUGCAUAUCCGGCCGAAAGGAAAGGCAGGGUGUUGGGGGCAGUGCAGAGGGCACUGGGUAGGGCCGAUGACACAUAGGGUGGGCCUCUCCUUCCAAGGGGGCCCUUGACUCAGAGUGAAACCUGAGCUGCUUAGAGCCCAUUAUUUGAUGGAGCCGUCUGCUUUGUGUCUUACCAGCAAAGGUAUUGUGGUGUCUGCCAGUGUCAGCUCAUGCCAAGCUGACCCCUGCCAGAACCAUGAAUUCCCCUUCCCUUCAAGCCCUUCAGAGGUCUGCGUGAAUUGUCCUGGCUUGAAUAAAAGGCUAGUUUUGUUUCUUCCUGGCUGGUCUCCAUCUUGGCUUUGAGCCUUGAGUAAUAGUCGACGAGGGAGGCAAUUUGUUCAGUAGGCAGAGCUCUGGGUGGGGAGGCAACAGGCCUGGGUCAGCUGGACAACAUAAAGGGAUUUUUUUUUUUUUUUUUUUAAGCCAUCUUCAGAGCAA
Molecule: long non-coding RNA, 3559 nt
Organism: Felis catus (domestic cat)
Lineage: Eukaryota; Metazoa; Chordata; Mammalia; Carnivora; Felidae
Exons: 2
Source: RefSeq, a predicted model, not a curated record